GAUGAACGCUGGCGGCGUACCUAAUACAUGCAAGUCGAGCGAACAGACGAGGAGCUUGCUCCUCUUACGUUAGCGGCGGACGGGUGAGUAACACGUGGAUAACCUAUCUAUAAGACUGGGAUAACUUCGGGAAACCGGAGCUAAUACCGGAUAAUAUAUUGAACCGCAUGGUUCAAUAGUGAAAGACGGUUUUGCUGUCACUAAUAGAUGGAUCCGCGCCGCAUUAGCUAGUUGGUAAGGUAACGGCUUACCAAGGCGACGAUGCGUAGCCGACCUGAGAGGGUGAUCGGCCACACUGGAACUGGGACACGGUCCAGACUCCUACGGGAGGCAGCAGUAGGGAAUCUUCCGCAAUGGGCGAAAGCCUGACGGAGCAACGCCGCGUGAGUGAUGAAGGUCUUCGGAUCGUAAAACUCUGUUAUUAGGGAAGAACAAAUGUGUAAGUAACUAUGCACGUCUUGACGGUACCUAAUCAGAAAGCCACGGCUAACUACGUG
This 497-nucleotide ribosomal RNA is filed under the name uncultured bacterium. RNAcentral's name for it is "partial 16S ribosomal RNA". It matches the Rfam family "Bacterial small subunit ribosomal RNA", at positions 28 to 507 of the family's 1533-position model. The record is from RNAcentral.